This 60-nucleotide transfer RNA is filed under the name Bothrops mattogrossensis. RNAcentral describes it as "Bothrops matogrossensis tRNA-His". The record is from RNAcentral. Lineage: Eukaryota; Metazoa; Chordata; Lepidosauria; Squamata; Viperidae.
GGUGUGGGUAAUUUAAAAAAAAUAUCAAGUUGUGACCCUGAAAAUAGANCCCCCUCGCAC